UUGACAACCCUGGAGAGUGUAAUCCUUUGUUCAUCCAUAUAAGAGGUACAGCACGGGUAGUGAAGUAAACUCUCCUCCAAUGCACCUCAACCCUGACCUAAAGGGACUAUCUUCAGGGGUGACAGGAUAGUUCACUUUUCAUGCCCAUUCAAUGCUUGAGCUAUC
Chelonoidis abingdonii (Abingdon island giant tortoise) is the source of this 165-nucleotide unclassified non-coding RNA. The record is from Ensembl. Lineage: Eukaryota; Metazoa; Chordata; Testudines; Testudinidae.